AAUCACUGACCCAAGAUAACGGACGCUGUCCUUCUUGGCGAUGGCCUGAGAGCCAAUUAUCACGUCCCUGCCUACUUCGCUCGGAUCGGCGCUAAACUUGCACUCCAGGUAUUCUGUCUUAGAAAAAGUCCGAAUAUUUUAAAACUCAUAAUAAAAAUCACUAAAAAACUACUGAAAAUUCAUAAACAAUUCUUGUAGAAGUAGAGAAAUAUGUGAAAGCUAGAUCCUAGAGAGAAAGUCCCAGUAAAAUUCAACAAAAAAAAAAAACAGCUUUAA
RNAcentral lists this long non-coding RNA (276 nucleotides) under Nicotiana benthamiana. Its description in RNAcentral is "long non-coding RNA (NBEN_LNC010345)". The record is from RNAcentral. Lineage: Eukaryota; Viridiplantae; Streptophyta; Magnoliopsida; Solanales; Solanaceae.